RNAcentral lists this ribosomal RNA (478 nucleotides) under uncultured bacterium. RNAcentral describes it as "partial 16S ribosomal RNA". It matches the Rfam family "Bacterial small subunit ribosomal RNA", at positions 28 to 523 of the family's 1533-position model. The record is from RNAcentral.
GACGAACGCUGGCGGCGUGCUUAACACAUGCAAGUCGAACGGUAAGGCCCUUCGGGGUACACGAGUGGCGAACGGGUGAGUAACACGUGGGUGAUCUGCCCUGCACUUCGGGAUAAGCCUGGGAAACUGGGUCUAAUACCGGAUAGGACCACUGCCUGCAUGGGUGGUGGUGGAAAGCUUUUGCGGUGUGGGAUGGGCCCGCGGCCUAUCAGCUGGUUGGUGGGGUGAUGGCCUACCAAGGCGACGACGGGUAGCCGGCCUGAGAGGGUGACCGACCACACUGGGACUGAGAUACGGCCCAGACUCCUACGGGAGGCAGCAGUGGGGAAUAUUGCACAAUGGGCGCAAGCCUGAUGCAGCGACGCCGCGUGAGGGAUGACGGCCUUCGGGUUGUAAACCUCUUUCAGCACCGACGAAGCGCAAGUGACGGUAGGUGCAGAAGAAGGACCGGCCAACUACGUGCCAGCCGCCGCGGUAA